RNAcentral lists this long non-coding RNA (715 nucleotides) under Phoenix dactylifera (date palm). RNAcentral's name for it is "long non-coding RNA (PDAC_LNC018957)". The record is from RNAcentral. Lineage: Eukaryota; Viridiplantae; Streptophyta; Magnoliopsida; Arecales; Arecaceae.
UUGCUACCCUUUAUAGAUUGGGUUUAGGGCUCCUCCUAAUCUUAUUAGGAGUAUGGAACUAUAACCCACCCUUGGAUUAAUGCCAAGUAUCCAAUCUUUGUGCUCAUAGAUGCAUGACAUGUGUCCAUUUAAUCAAUUGAUUAAUUUUCUAAUUAUAUUAGGAUUCAUAAUCUCAUUAGGAGAAUUAAUUGAUUUGGGAGCAUGCAUCCUACGACGCCAUGUGGACUUUAAAGUCCGCAUAGUGUGAACAUGACUUAAGUCAUAUUCAUCCUACAAUGACAUGUGGCCUUUAAAAUCCGCACAAACCUUGGUUUAAUCAAAUUGACCCAAUCAUGAACCCAAAUCAAUUUGGAUCGAACCUAAUUUGAUUCGGCUCAUUAAAUCAGCCCAAUUGCAAUCCAAUUACAAUCAAUUCCACUUAAUUCUUCUUCCAUUAACUCACUAACACUUAGUGGAUUAAUUCAAUCACCAAUCAAAUUGAUGAUUGAUUUCUAUUAUGAUUCCAAAUCAUAAUUAUAAUAGUCUGACUAAUUAAAUCCUCUAUGUGUGUGACCCCGUAGAUUCUAUUCUGACUGGUAGUGAGAAAUAUUGAGAUCUCCAUCUCAAUAUCACUGAAACUCCUUUCAGUGGACUGAAACGAUUUCAGUUCUACACUUAGGGUUCACUGAUCACCAAGUGAAUGCCUUCGACUCUCACAAUCCACUAGUGAUACCUA